Nannospalax galili (Upper Galilee mountains blind mole rat) is the source of this 133-nucleotide small nucleolar RNA. Lineage: Eukaryota; Metazoa; Chordata; Mammalia; Rodentia; Spalacidae. The record is from Ensembl.
GUUUAAAGAACCACCCCUGUCCCUGGCCUUGGUCGUGGCCUGGGUUGAGAUUCGGUGCCCAGAGCCACCAGGGGCCUCAGCUCACCUCUGGCUUCCACCGUGUGGGAGUGUAAAACCCAGGCUCCCAACAAGC